Molecule: non-coding RNA, 27 nt
Filed under: Homo sapiens (human)
Lineage: Eukaryota; Metazoa; Chordata; Mammalia; Primates; Hominidae
Source: RNAcentral
UGCCCAUGGAGGUGAGGCCUGUGGUCC